RNA transcript from Lycium barbarum (goji berry), 1517 nucleotides. RefSeq lists it as uncharacterized. NCBI's taxonomy places the organism in Eukaryota, Viridiplantae, Streptophyta, Magnoliopsida, Solanales, Solanaceae. The record is from RefSeq and is a predicted model, not a curated record. The transcript has 2 exons.
UGUUAGUCAUCGCAGAAUUUCAUCUUUUUCUUUAGCCCUAGUUGCUGAUCUUUCUUGAUUCCUUUUCCUUAUUUUUUCAUCGAAAAAUAAAGAAAGAAUUCAUGGGGUUCAAAUCAAGAUAUCAAGACCUGACUUGUUAUUUUGAAACAGUCCCAAUAGGAAGAAGUAGUACGCGACGUUACCUACAAAGUACAAGAGAGGCUCAAAGAUGGAUUUGGCGCCCAACAAUUCCUUCAUGGGAGAAGGAAUUUUGUUGUCGAAAGAUUGGUUCAUUCACCUGAGAAAAUUUCUUGAAUUACAAGAAGUGUAUAUAUCACUUUGAAAAAAUAUUGAAUUGGAAUGACUUAGCUACUGAGGAAGCAUUUCAGCAUGCCAAGAAUAGAUUUUAUGCUGAGUUUCACAACUUUCCUUUUGUUGAAACUUUCAAGCUAGACCCUAAUCUCUAUAUUGAUGAAAUUGAUUGGAAUUCAGAAAUUGAUGCCAAAUUACAUGAGGAGUUAGAGUUGUCAUUAGUGCAAGAGGAAGAAGGAGAAGAAGAUGAAAAUUUGACCCAAAGUUACUCGAGAAGAACUUAUGACAUACCAAUUAAGGAAACCAGUCCUACAGGUAGGGUGUUCACAGUUUGGAUAAAAAUGGAUCCGAACCACUAACUGAACCAUGCCGAUUAAAUAAAUCGAUAGUUAUUUGGGUUUGGUUUAGUUUGAUUUUAAAUUUUAAAAAUCGAUAAUAUUUGGUUUGGUUUGGUUUUAUUAAAACCAAACUGGACCGAACCGACAAAAUAAUUAAUAUAUAUAUAUAUAUAUGUAUGAAUAAUUUUAGAUACUUCAUUUACUUUUUCAUCAAAAUUUUGUUUAUCUCUAUUAGUCUAAUGAAACUUGCAUCUUAAGAUCAUUUAAAAAAAAAAAACUAUGAAUCCAAAUUUAUUUAUUCAAAGAAACAACUACUAUGAGAUUUACCUAAAAAAAAAAAAAAUUCUUAUUAACUUAAGACAUUUGUUUUCAUAAUCCAAGAAAAUUAUAGCUCCCACAAUAAAAUGGUAAUAAUGGAUUAUAAGUUGGAAAAUUAUGGCAAAGUUUGAAUAUCCUAAUCGUAGACAAAAAUGAAAGAGAGAAAUACCCUUAGGUUUCUUAAAAACCGAAAAAAAGAACCAAACCGAACUAAACCUAACCGAUGGAUAUGUAUUAUAUUUUGUUUGGUUUGGUUUUUGUAAUUGAAAAACCGACUAAUUUGGUUUGAUUCUGGUUUUAACCAAACAUCAACCCAAACUGAACUAUGAACACCCCUACCUACUGGUUGGAAUAAUGAUUAUGUCGAUAAAUGGAAUGUUUUGACUGGUCUUAUUGUGGGCAAUCAUAGCAAUUGUGGAGAAGGUGCUCAAUACGUACCGGUUUCUACUAUCUAUCAACAACAAUGUAGAUGGCAAGAAGGCAUAUUUUGUACAUAUAGUCUUACAUCUGUAUUAUUCUGCAUAAUGCUUUUCCUCCAUACUAAAUCGAUCCAAACUGUAGAAAAAAUUC